UCCUGGAGCAUCCUGGCCUCAUGUCCAGCUGUCCGAGCUCCAGGGAAAUCCCACAGGGCAGCGCAGGUCAGAGCCUCUGAUGAAUAGAGUCUCAAAGUCCACCAUCAAAAGAGCUCUCCUCCCUCGGCAGCGCUUCCCCUUUUUGUAUCACGAGAUCAUCACAGACGGUCACAGAGACAGGCCCAUGCGUUUGGAGACUGUCAGGGGAAACCGUUUUGCAAAGCUUUCGAACAAAUCAGAAGCAAGAAGGAUGAGACGCUUCCCCUCUUUCCUCUAGCACUGAAGUUCAUGCCGUGAGCCUGCUGACCCAAGAAUGCGGCCAGAUCUCCAGCACAUUGUUUAACAGGGCCCAGCAGUGGAGUGGAGAAGUCAAAUGUUUAGUUUGCAGGGGGUUCGCUCAGUGUGUUUUGGAAUCAUUAUGUGCUGUUGCAUUGUUGCCAUUUAUUGAUUUUCCAGAAACUCCAAAAGCAUCGCGAAAUAUGUUCCCAGUACAGUAGAUCUCAAUGGGGAAAGUCAAGAGAUAUAUGAUAACAGAUCCACAGGAAUGUUUGGUUUCAGCAAACACAAUUUAAAAUUCUGCACGGAAACAGAGCAGAACCAAAACUAACUGAACGGAAACUGUCAAAACUUGUAAAGCAGGAAUUCAAAUCUGUGUGAUACUGAAAAAUAGUAUCACAAAAUGGUAAGUUUGAAUAGGCAGCUAGAACCGCACAUUAGGGGCAAUGCCAGGGAGGGCUUGAGGGGGCACUAGCCUCCAGAGGUGGGGACUUGCAAGUCAUGACUUGGACUCGAGUCAGACUUGAGUCACUAUUUUUAGGACUUGAGACUUGACUUGAUAAAAUAGAAAAAGACUUGGGACUCGACCUGGACUUGAAGAUCAGUGACUCGGGAUUUAACUUGGACUUGAGCCCUGUGACUUGGGAAGACUUGAAGCUUCUCCUUAAAAAUAUAUGUUUUUAGAAAAUA
This is a long non-coding RNA of Boleophthalmus pectinirostris (great blue-spotted mudskipper), 966 nucleotides long. RefSeq lists it as uncharacterized. Lineage: Eukaryota; Metazoa; Chordata; Actinopteri; Gobiiformes; Gobiidae. The transcript is spliced from 2 exons. The record is from RefSeq and is a predicted model, not a curated record.